RNAcentral lists this ribosomal RNA (456 nucleotides) under uncultured Rhodopseudomonas sp. RNAcentral describes it as "bacterial SSU rRNA". It matches the Rfam family "Bacterial small subunit ribosomal RNA", at positions 926 to 1382 of the family's 1533-position model. Lineage: Bacteria; Pseudomonadati; Pseudomonadota; Alphaproteobacteria; Hyphomicrobiales; Nitrobacteraceae. The record is from RNAcentral.
CAAGCGUGGAGCAUGUGGUUUAAUUCGACGCAACGCGCAGAACCUUACCAGCCCUUGACAUGUCCAGGACCGGUCGCAGAGAUGUGACCUUCUCUUCGGAGCCUGGAGCACAGGUGCUGCAUGGCUGUCGUCAGCUCGUGUCGUGAGAUGUUGGGUUAAGUCCCGCAACGAGCGCAACCCCCGUCUUUAGUUGCUACCAUUUAGUUGAGCACUCUAAAGAGACUGCCGGUGAUAAGCCGCGAGGAAGGUGGGGAUGACGUCAAGUCCUCAUGGCCCUUACGGGCUGGGCUACACACGUGCUACAAUGGCGGUGACAAUGGGAUGCUAAAGGGCAACCUCUCGCAAAUCUCAAAAAGCCGUCUCAGUUCGGAUUGGAGUCUGCAACUCGACUCCAUGAAGUUGGAAUCGCUAGUAAUCGUGGAUCAGCAUGCCACGGUGAAUACGUUCCCGGGCCUU